CUUAUAAGCUCAUUAGGGGGGUAUUUAAAGACAUAAUGCCUCUGAAACCAACCAAUGUUCAAUAAAUAGCUAUUGUUAAUGCACUGUAAAGAGAACUCUUGAAAGAGUGUCACAAUCAUUUAAGCUUUAGCGAAGCAUCCACAUAAGUAUUUAUAAAGUGCUUCAAAUAUACCACAUAUGCUCCAAGCCAACUUACCGUUAGUGUAAGGUCAUUGCAGAGCUUUGGGCUUUAACUAAACUUAUAGCACUGCUGGGGAAUCUAAUUUAAUUGAGAUGUAUUCUAAUUUGGGUUACACUUUUUUCCUAAUUUAAUUCCUCAUGCCUUGUAUUUUCACAUAGUUGUGAGUGUAUAAAUUAUUAAUCGAGUCACUUUGUUUGAUUAUAUUCUUUCCGGCAUUGCUCAUCAGUGCUAAUAUGCUUAAAUGUUGGUCUUGGUGGUUGCUGAAAGCAAGUUAUAUGGGAGGGACACACCCUCGUCGACCCAAAUUGAAUCCAAGUGCUGCUUUGUUCAGGAGGCCCCGUAACACGGGGCUCUGCACCUCAUGUCUGGCCACUUCUGCCUGCUGGUUUCAGUGCCACCAUCUCUCCGUCUCUCCGGAGGGUCUAAAGCCGGGGAGGAGUCUGGGAUGCCCUCGGAGGCUGUCGGCUUUCCCGUGCUGCACGCCUCUUGCUCUGCUCAUCAGGACCAGUGCAAGGCAGCGUGGUCUGUGGACUUGGGCCACCCUGCAGAUACUCACAGCUGUUCUACGUGGUUUUCAGGAUCUUGGUUCCCUGACUAGGAACGGAAGCCAGGUCAAGGCAGCGAAAGUCCUAUCCUGUAAGCCAACAGGGAACUCUCCAGAAUGUCUUCACCUUUAAAGUUAGCCCAAUUUAUUGCAAAUUCUUCCUUGCUUUAAAAUAGGAAUGUUCUUUUUUUAAAAAAAAUGUGAGAAAUACUUUAUGUUGGCC
RNAcentral lists this long non-coding RNA (948 nucleotides) under Ovis aries (sheep). RNAcentral describes it as "lncRNA (ENSOARG00000025649.1)". Lineage: Eukaryota; Metazoa; Chordata; Mammalia; Artiodactyla; Bovidae. The record is from RNAcentral.